AUAUCAGCUGUUAGCCUUGUGACUAGUGGAAUAAUUUGGGACAUGCCAUGUCGGUAGAUAGAAAUAAUAAGUGAAGGUACCCACGCUGCGCCAGCAUGUUGGAGAGGUCUGAGUGUGAGCCAAUGCCAGAGUAAAAACGAGGUGGGUGCACGAGCCAUCAUCUUGCCUUGGAGGCAGUGCUAGUACUUCUGGCCUCUCUUUAGUCUUGCUGACAGUCACGAGUAGGUUGUGUUGUUCAGGUCAGGUCUUUACAUCUUUUCGAGAAAAAAGCCACAGUAUAGUAUGUCUAAAAAUAAUAAAAAGCCAUAGUAUAGUAUUUCUAAAAAGUCAU
This is a long non-coding RNA of Etheostoma cragini (Arkansas darter), 331 nucleotides long. RefSeq lists it as uncharacterized. The transcript has 2 exons. The record is from RefSeq and is a predicted model, not a curated record. Lineage: Eukaryota; Metazoa; Chordata; Actinopteri; Perciformes; Percidae.